Molecule: ribosomal RNA, 1477 nt
Filed under: uncultured prokaryote
Description: partial 16S ribosomal RNA
Rfam family: Bacterial small subunit ribosomal RNA
Source: RNAcentral
GAGAGUUUGAUCCUGGCUCAGAAUGAACGCUGGCGGCGUGCUUAACACAUGCAAGUCGAACGAUGAAACUUAGUUUACUAAGUGGAUUAGUGGCGCACGGGUGAGUAAUAUAUAGGUAACGUGCCUCUUAGUCUGGGAUAGCCAUUGGAAACGAUGAUUAAUACUGGAUACUCCUUCUAACUCUAAUGUUAGUUGGGAAAGUUUUUCGCUAAGAGAUCGGCCUAUUUCCCAUCAGGUAGUUGGUAGUGUAAGAGACUACCAAGCCUAUGACGGGUAGCGGGUUUGAGAGGAUGAUCCGCCACACUGGUACUGAGACACGGACCAGACUCCUACGGGAGGCAGCAGUGAGGAAUAUUGCACAAUGGACGAAAGUCUGAUGCAGCAACGCCGCGUGGAGGAUGACACAUUUCGGUGCGUAAACUCCUUUUAUAUAGGAAGAUAAUGACGGUACUAUAUGAAUAAGCACCGGCUAACUCCGUGCCAGCAGCCGCGGUAAUACGGAGGGUGCAAGCGUUACUCGGAAUCACUGGGCGUAAAGAGAAUGUAGGCGGGUAGAUAAGUCAGAAGUGAAAUCCAAUAGCUCAACUAUUGAACUGCUUUUGAAACUGUUUACCUAGAAUAUGGGAGAGGUAGAUGGAAUUUCUGGUUAGGGGUAAAAUCCGUAGAGAUCAGAAGGAAUACCGAUUGCGAAGGCGAUCUACUGGAACAUUAUUGACGCUGAGAUGCGAAAGCGUGGGGAGCAAACAGGAUUAGAUACCCUGGUAGUCCACGCCCUAAACGAUGCACACUAGUUGUUGCGAGGCUAGACAUUGCAGUAAUGCAGUUAACACAUUAAGUGUGCCGCCUGGGGAGUACGGUCGCAAGAUUAAAACUCAAAGGAAUAGACGGGGACCCGCACAAGCGGUGGAGCAUGUGGUUUAAUUCGACUAUACGCGAAGAACCUUACCUGGACUUGACAUAGAAAGAAUUUAGCAGAGAUGUAAAAGUGCUGGUUUACCAGAGCUUUCAUACAGGUGCUGCACGGCUGUCGUCAGCUCGUGUCGUGAGAUGUUGGGUUAAGUCCCGCAACGAGCGCAACCCUCGUGUUUAGUUGCUAACAGUUAGGCUGAGAACUCUAAACAGACUGCCUGGGUAACCAGGAGGAAGGUGAGGACGACGUCAAGUCAUCAUGGCCCUUAUGUCCAGGGCUACACACGUGCUACAAUGGGGUAUACAGAGAGCUGCGAUAUCGAGAGGUGGAGCCAAUCUCAUAAAGCGUCUCUCAGUUCGGAUAGAAGUCUGCAACUCGACUCCAUGAAGCUGGAAUCACUAGUAAUCGUAGAUCAGCAAUGCUACGGUGAAUACGUUCCCGGGUCUUGUACUCACCGCCCGUCACACCAUGGGAGUUGAUUUCACCCGAAAUUGGGAAGCUAACCUUCGGGAGGCUACCACUUACGGUGGAAUUAGCGACUGGGGUGAAGUCGUAACAAGGUAACCA